RNAcentral lists this ribosomal RNA (258 nucleotides) under uncultured bacterium. RNAcentral's name for it is "partial small subunit ribosomal RNA". It matches the Rfam family "Bacterial small subunit ribosomal RNA", at positions 26 to 285 of the family's 1533-position model. The record is from RNAcentral.
AGAUUGAACGCUGGCGGCGUGCCUAACACAUGCAAGUCGAGCGGUAACAGGUGUAGCAAUACAUGCUGACGAGCGGCGAACGGGUGAGUAAUGCUUUGGAAUCUUCCCAGUAGUGGGGAAUAACCAGUCGAAAGAUUGGCUAAUACCGCAUACGUCUGUAAAGGGAAAGCGGGGGCUCGUAAGACCUCGCGCUAUUGGAUGAGCCAAAGUCGGAUUAGCUAGUUGGUGGGUAAUGGCCUACCAAGGCGACGACGGGUA